Molecule: ribosomal RNA, 384 nt
Filed under: uncultured organism
Description: bacterial SSU rRNA
Rfam family: Bacterial small subunit ribosomal RNA
Source: RNAcentral
UGCCUUACACAUGCAAGUCGAACGGUAACAGCACUUCGGUGGCUGACGAGUGGCGAACGGGUGAGUAAUACAUCGGAACGUGCCCAGUAGUGGGGGAUAGCCCGGCGAAAGCCGGAUUAAUACCGCAUGAGACCUGAGGGUGAAAGCGGGGGAUCGCAAGACCUCGCGCUAUUGGAGCGGCCGAUAUCAGAUUAGGUAGUUGGUGGGAUAAAAGCUUACCAAGCCGACGAUCUGCCGCUGGUCUGAGAGGACGACCAGCCACACUGGGACUGAGACACGGCCCAGACUCCUACGGGAGGCAGCAGUGGGGAAUUUUGGACAAUGGGCGAAAGCCUGAUCCAGCCAUGCCGCGUGCAGGAUGAAGGCCUUCGGGUUGUAAACUGC